Molecule: unclassified non-coding RNA, 274 nt
Filed under: fungal sp.
Lineage: Eukaryota; Fungi
Description: partial internal transcribed spacer region
Rfam family: Eukaryotic small subunit ribosomal RNA (bases 1-46)
Source: RNAcentral
AAGUCGUAACAAGGUUUCCGUAGGUGAACCUGCGGAAGGAUCAUUAGAAGGGAGCUAGUCUAUGAUUGCUUGAUUGCGUUAGCAAUCAUUAGCGAUCAUGGAUUAAGCGAGCUUACCAUGUGUGAACAGUAUAUGAAGGUGGUCUUUAAGAGUAAGGAAGGGACUUGACCUUUCCUUCACUCUAAGGACCACCCUUUUACCAAACUGCCUUAUACCUUACUGAGCUUGAUAACAUAAGACCUGAAAUCUUUUAGCAAUGGAUCUCUAGGCUCUU